GCAGGCUGCAACUCGCCUGCAUGAAGCUGGAAUUGCUAGUAAUCGCGGAUCAGCAAGCCGCGGUGAAUACGUUCCCGGGCCUUGUACACACCGCCCGUCACACCAUGAGAGUCGGGAACACCCGAAGUCCGUAGUCUAACCGCAAGGGGGGCGCGGCCGAAGGUGGGUCCGGUAAUUGGGGUGAAGUCGUAACAAGGUACC
RNAcentral lists this ribosomal RNA (201 nucleotides) under uncultured bacterium. RNAcentral's name for it is "partial 16S ribosomal RNA". It matches the Rfam family "Bacterial small subunit ribosomal RNA", at positions 1300 to 1500 of the family's 1533-position model. The record is from RNAcentral.